Molecule: long non-coding RNA, 906 nt
Organism: Hevea brasiliensis (rubber tree)
Lineage: Eukaryota; Viridiplantae; Streptophyta; Magnoliopsida; Malpighiales; Euphorbiaceae
Exons: 3
Source: RefSeq, a predicted model, not a curated record
CACACCUAGGGUAGUCGAAAUUCAUACUUGGAGAGGGAAUGUUCCAUGAAGUUUCGAAGCGAAGAAAGUUUAAAAGAAUAGGAGAGUUUGAAUAGAGAGGAAAAAAAGAGGGAUUUAAGUUUAAAAAGCCUAUUUGGGCAAGUUCGGCCUCCUAAGUUAGUUUAAGACGACAUAUAUAAACUGAAUUAAAGGGAGCCCCCUAGCCCAUUUCCUCAUUUUCCCCAUAUUCCUUACCACUUAGUCCUUUUUCGUCUAUUUUCUCUAGCCCAUAGCCCUAAAAUACACUAUGCUAGCCUUUACAUGAAAGAGAAUCAUCCUAAACCUCUCUGAAGGGUAAAUAGCAUCCUUUUCCUAGCGGAUUGAAGAAGUGAGAGAAGCUCUUCCUAAUGAAAACCUUAGCUAAGAUAGAUCCCAAGCAUGUCCUAGCAAGCCUCAGUGACCAUGAAGGGCAAAGCAGCAACCGCAAAUGGCAUUUGGGUGGCAAGAAAAGAAGGUGUGAGAAAAAGGCAACAUCAGUAACUUUGGGGUUAGUGCCUCCUGACGUUCGAUGGUCUUAAUCUUGACGACAUCAGACUCCCCACAUUCCCAGCUUUCUUUUCUAACAAAUGAAAUCCAAUAUGGUGGUUAGAGGAGAAAGAACCAAAAAGAGAGAUAAUGGGUAUUUUCAAGGCUUUUCGGCCAUUUUUUAGAGAAUCCAACUGUCAGUCGGAGGAUCCAAAACCAUCUAUGGACUCCACUCGAUAAGAGCUUUACUUCAAUUUGAAAAAAAGCAAUCAUUAGGUGGCUUAGAAUGAUCAGUCAGUGGUAGCUUUUCAAAAAUGGGACUGUGUUUCCAGUUAAUCAAGAGCGCUCGAUGGACCGUUCCAAAAGAUAGUCAAUAUUAUACUAUAUCCUAGCAUUUUCUAA